This 440-nucleotide ribosomal RNA is filed under the name uncultured Alphaproteobacteria bacterium. RNAcentral's name for it is "bacterial SSU rRNA". It matches the Rfam family "Bacterial small subunit ribosomal RNA", at positions 9 to 495 of the family's 1533-position model. Lineage: Bacteria; Pseudomonadati; Pseudomonadota; Alphaproteobacteria. The record is from RNAcentral.
GAGUUUGAUCUUGGCUCAGAACGAACGCUGGCGGCAUGCCUAACACAUGCAAGUCGAACGGCUGUAGCAAUACAGCAGUGGCGGACGGGUGAGUAACACGUAGGAAUCUACCCAGUAGCCUGGAAUAACCGCGGGAAACUGCGGCUAAUACCGGAUACGCCCCCGGGGAAAGGAGCAAUCCACUAUUGGAGGAGCCUGCGUCCGAUUAGCUAGUUGGUGAGGUAAUGGCUCACCAAGGCGAUGAUCGGUAGCUGGUCUGAGAGGACGACCAGCCACACUGGGACUGAGACACGGCCCAGACUCCUACGGGAGGCAGCAGUGGGGAAUAUUGGACAAUGGGGGAAACCCUGAUCCAGCAAUGCCGCGUGGGUGAUGAAGGCCUUGGGUUGUAAAGCCUUUUGGCGGGGACGGAUGAUGACGGUACCGCCGAAUAAGCCCGG